RNAcentral lists this ribosomal RNA (447 nucleotides) under uncultured bacterium. RNAcentral describes it as "partial 16S ribosomal RNA". It matches the Rfam family "Bacterial small subunit ribosomal RNA", at positions 330 to 793 of the family's 1533-position model. The record is from RNAcentral.
UCCAGACUCCUACGGGAGGCAGCAGUAGGGAAUUUUGCGCAAUGGGCGAAAGCCUGACGCGGCAACGCCGCGUGAACGAUUAAGCCCUUCGGGGUGUAAAGUUCUGUCAGUAGGGACGAAACUUGACGGUACCUACAGAGGAAGCACUGGCUAACUCCGUGCCAGCAGCCGCGGUAAUACGUAGGGGGCAAGCGUUAUCCGGAUUUACUGGGUGUAAAGGGGGCGCAGACGGCGAUGCAAGCCAGGAGUGAAAGCCCGGGGCCCAACCCCGGGACUGCUCUUGGAACUGCGUGGCUGGAGUGCAGGAGGGGCAGGCGGAAUUCCUGGUGUAGCGGUGAAAUGCGUAGAUAUCAGGAGGAACACCGGUGGCGAAGGCGGCCUGCUGGACUGCAACUGACGUUGAGGCCCGAAAGCGUGGGGAGCAAACAGGAUUAGAUACCCUUGUAC